Molecule: long non-coding RNA, 1250 nt
Organism: Magallana angulata
Lineage: Eukaryota; Metazoa; Mollusca; Bivalvia; Ostreida; Ostreidae
Exons: 5
Source: RefSeq, a predicted model, not a curated record
UAAGAAUGAUAGUAAACGAAGCUACAUCAAUUAAAUUGACCCUGUAAUGAGGUAAAUAACUUACACUAUCUUAUCUUUAAAGGUAAACUAAUACGGGUGAUGCAACAGCCUACUGUUCAUUGGAAAUUCCCAUAACGAUGUUUAUAAUUCUAUUAAAUCCUAAUAUAACAGUGAGUUAAUAACCUGUUCUAAGUUUGUCAUUCUGCAAUAAAUCAUAAAAUUGUCAUAAAUCUGUUUUCUGCAUUAUCUUGUGAAUUAAACAGAUCCUCUACAUAUCAUAUUUACUUGCCUCUCGUCCCUAUUUUUUCUUGCAUGUAUUUUUUUUGUUUUAGAUCAAGGGACAGGUCAAACAAUUAAGGUUAUAUAAUUUAAUAUUAACUGAAAAAGCAAAGGGAAACUUUGUUUGUCUUAUUGAUUUAUUGUAAAUUUUCAGAUGAUAAAAAACAUCUUGAGGACAAAAAUAAACCUGGGGAGCUUAAUUUUACAUUUAAGGAUGCAUCAGUUGUAGCACCCUGUUCGAGCAAACCCCUUUCACGGCAAUCUUUGCAAUUCACUCCGCAGAGGACUGUUUUAUCAGAUUCAAAGUCUGCGAGACAGUUGUCCCCAGCCACACCAGUGAAUUCUACAGCGUCCUGUUCGAGCAAAUCAGAUCUUCCAAGACCGACUUCGCAGUAAACUUCCAAAAAGACAACUGUUUCAUCAGAUUUGGAUUCAGUUUUACAGUUGUCCACAGCCACACUAGUGUAUUCUACAGGUAAUUCAAGCAGGUUCAUAUAUCUAGUAACUAUCUGCUUCAUCUCUCUGCACCGAGUUUCUUUUAUGAUUCCAAACACGAUAAUGAAAAUAUAUCAUAUAAAAGCAUCCUGUUCGAGCAAAUCAGAUCUUCCAAGACCGACUUCGCAGUCAACUUCCACAAAGACAACUGUUUCAUCAGAUUUGGAUUCAGUUUUACAGUUGUCCCCAGCCACACCAGUGAAUUCUACAGAAGCAUCAUGUCCAAGCAGACCCCUUGCCAGACCCUCAAAUGUACGACAAACUCCCAAGAAGAAAACAGUUUCAUCAGAUUCGGACUCGUCGACACAGUUGCCACCAACCACACCACUUAAUUCUACAGCAUCCUGUUCGCACGGACCCAUUGUUCCCAGGCACACGAAUACACGACAAACUCCAAAAAAGAAAACCUUUUCUUCAGAUUCAGAUUCAGUGACGGGACAGUUGCAGCUAGCUUCACCAUUGGAUUCCACAGGUAA